CCCCUUUCGGGACCGCAACUGGAGAGUUUUCAGUAUUCUACCAGCCUCGGCUAUGGGAGGGAGAGUCAAGCAGGGGCAUACCCAUUCCAUUUCUAGCUUGAGCAGUGGCUAGCGAGUGGAAGGCAAUCAGCUAUAAGC
Molecule: small nucleolar RNA, 138 nt
Organism: Ornithorhynchus anatinus (platypus)
Lineage: Eukaryota; Metazoa; Chordata; Mammalia; Monotremata; Ornithorhynchidae
Source: RefSeq, a predicted model, not a curated record